Molecule: long non-coding RNA, 240 nt
Filed under: Capsicum annuum
Lineage: Eukaryota; Viridiplantae; Streptophyta; Magnoliopsida; Solanales; Solanaceae
Description: long non-coding RNA (CANN_LNC015698)
Source: RNAcentral
CACCUUAGGAUUUUUCUCACUUUCAACAUUUUCUUCAACUACCUUCGGUCAUUCAACACUUGCCUUAUUAGGAUUUGGAUCAUCAUUAUUUGGAUCUUCUAGCCACUUUCUCUUUGCAUUGGUUUGAUCAUCAUUUGCCUUUUCAUUGGGGUCUUUACCAAGAUCAACAACAUCUUUACCAAGAGUCUGACCACUCCUAGUGACAAUAGUCAUAAUAUGAGAAUUAUUUUUAGGAUUGAC